GAUACAUAAAAGAUAUAAACAAAGAAUUAUAAAUAGCAUUAAACCGCAAAGUGCGACAUAUUGUUUUUAUCGUGAUAAAUGCAUACAAAUGACUACAAAUACGAUUUGGUAUUUUGUUUGUGUGUGUGUGUGUGUGUGUGUGGAAUGAUCUUUAUGCUUAUAAUCGCGCAAAGAACGGUACCAUUGUUGGAAACGAUGAAAAGAUUAUGGGAUUUAACUGUGGUAUUAAAUCUAUUGCUCAUUGCGAUAAUUAUAUCAUAAGUGGCGACAAUUUUGGUAAUAUUAACCGCUGGGAAAUUGAGUAUAAUAAAAAUAAUAUGAAACGUUUAAAAAAACAUAAUUUACAUACGUUAUAUCGCGCUAUUAAUCAAAUAGACGCAACAUCGCAACACAUUAUAAUUGGUUGUAGAAAUUCAAUAAAGAUACUGAAGUAUACAGAUGAUAAAAAUGGUUGUACA
Molecule: non-coding RNA, 458 nt
Organism: Linepithema humile (Argentine ant)
Lineage: Eukaryota; Metazoa; Arthropoda; Insecta; Hymenoptera; Formicidae
Source: RefSeq, a predicted model, not a curated record